RNAcentral lists this ribosomal RNA (394 nucleotides) under uncultured bacterium. Its description in RNAcentral is "bacterial SSU rRNA". It matches the Rfam family "Bacterial small subunit ribosomal RNA", at positions 56 to 450 of the family's 1533-position model. The record is from RNAcentral.
UGCAGUCGAACGGAAGCAAAGAUUUCGGUUUUUGCUUUAGUGGCGAACGGGUGAGUAACGCGUGAGGAACCUGCCUUUCAGUGGGGGACAACAGUUGGAAACGACUGCUAAUACCGCAUAAUGCUUGUGAGUGGCAUCACUUAAAAGUCAAAGAUUUAUUGCUGAAAGAUGGCCUCGCGUCUGAUUAGCUAGUUGGCGGGGUAACGGCCCACCAAGGCGACGAUCAGUAGCCGGUCUGAGAGGAUGAACGGCCACAUUGGGACUGAGAUACGGCCCAGACUCCUACGGGAGGCAGCAGUGGGGAAUAUUGGGCAAUGGGGGAAACCCUGACCCAGCAACGCCGCGUGAAGGAAGAAGGCCUUCGGGUUGUAAACUCCUUUUACCAGGGGCGAAA